This is a non-coding RNA of Parelaphostrongylus tenuis, 75 nucleotides long. NCBI's taxonomy places the organism in Eukaryota, Metazoa, Nematoda, Chromadorea, Rhabditida, Metastrongylidae. The record is from the annotation of a GenBank genome assembly.
GCCUCGGUGGUGUAGUGGUAGUAGCACGCAUCCUCGGUAUGAAUGAAACGCGGAUUCGAUUCCUGUCCUGAGGCU